This 1721-nucleotide long non-coding RNA is filed under the name Mytilus galloprovincialis (Mediterranean mussel). The record is from RNAcentral. Lineage: Eukaryota; Metazoa; Mollusca; Bivalvia; Mytilida; Mytilidae.
GUCUGAUCCUGAUCAGAUAGUCUAGACAUGACUCAUGAGGCUAGACUAUCACUAUCAUGUCUAGGUUUCAGACUCACAUUUUAAAAUGCAUAUGCUGCAAACAUGGACAGGAGUUGGAUUGCAGUAGACAAGAAGACAAAAUGAGUUGCUGCCAUCCUUUCAUGACCCUUCCAAAUCUAGCAACGGAAAUUUCAAAAGCAAAACUUUCAGUUUCAGUUGGUUCUGGUAAGUUUGUUAUUUUUUUUUGUGGUUAGAAAAAGCAAUUUGACACCAUAAAAAGACCUACUGUAGAAACAUCACAUCUGAUUCAAAACAUAAAUAUCGGAAGAAGAGCAUAGACCAUUUCUCUUUGGGGAAAAAAAAGGGGGGGGGGUAUUUACAUAAUUUUCUUGAAGCAAACACUGAUUUAAUUUUCAUUGACAUACAUUUAUAAUGAUUUAAAAUUCUUCUGAAACUAAAAGAUUUAUGUGUUUGCCUUCUAAAUUUUAAUAGAAAAACUUUUUUCUCUCUCAGUCUCUCAAGAAUCAUGAUAAAAUAUAUAUUCUAUUACAAAGCCCUCCGGUAUCAGGUCUGUUCGCCCUGAGUUUGUUUGACCAAAUUGUCAAUAUAGAGUCCAUUGACUCUGUUUUUUUUCUCCUAAUUUAAAAAUAAUGGUUGCUUCAAAUCCCUUUUUUUUUUUAAAUACAACCCAUUGAAAUAGAAAACAUUCAGUAGAUAGAUAUAGGAAGAUGUGGUAUGAGUGCGAAUGAGACAACUAUCCAUCCAAAUAACAAUUUAUUAAAGUAAACCAUUAUAGGUCAAUGUACGGCCUUCAACACAGAGCCUUGGCUCACACGGAACAACAAGCUAUAAACAUGAUAAAGGACCCCUAAAUUACUAGUGUAAAACCUUCGAACAGGAAAAUCAAUGGUCUAAUCUAUAUAUAAAAAAAGGAGAAACGAGAAACACGUAUAAAUUACAUAAACAUACGAAAACUACUGUACAUUUAUGCCAACUAAAAAGUAUGUGUGUUAACCGCACUACCCUUACCUACCUUUAUUUUUAUCCCUACCCUAAAGAUUUUUGUGACAGGUUUUGAUUAAGCACUGUUAAAGUCACAAUAUAGCUCCCAAAGAGUUGUGAAUUUCCUGUCUUUAUUCAUUCCUUUACCAGUACUACAUGUACAUUGUACAAUGCAGCUAGAUUGAUACAAUAUAUGGUUCUCAAACUCAAAAAAAAUGUUUUACAGACUAUGAGCUGGUUUUUUUUUUCUCUCUAAAAAUUGGUUACUGUGAGACUUUUUCUUUACAUUUCCUUAGUGCAGGUCAUGUAUCACAGUUAUAAACAUGGAAAGAGAACUUGUACAUGUCUUUACUUCUAUCGUUAAUAAAAUAGAAUCUGAAUAGAAUAUGCUUACAAAUGUAUUCCAAAUUAAAGGGCCCAGAAGGGGCAACAUGAGAUUAUAACAUUACAGAUUACUCAGAUAAAACAAAUUCAAAAUAACAAUACUGAAGAAAUGAAUUACUUGAUGAUGUGAUUGAUAUCAUAGCAUUUAUGACAUUUACACAAAUUAAUUAUCAUAUCUACAAAACUUUUUUUUUCAAUGAACCAAUGCAUUAUGUUAAGCCAACUUAAUGUACAAUGUACAUGUAGAUGUAACUCACUGUACUGAUCAUGCAAAUGUACAAAUAUACAAUAUUUUAUUUCUUAUCAACAGGUUAAUGUUGAAGAUGGAAAAGCAC